GAAGAUCAUGGUACCAAAACUGAAACUGAUACAAAUAGAACAUCUCUAGCCGAUUUAACCAGCAUUUCUGAGGCCAUCAAACAUCUGCUCUGGUUCAUCACACAGAACACAGAAUAUGACCAAUCAAGCCCUCUUCUGCACUGUAACCCUGACAAAUAUGAUACAAGUCUAAGCAGUAAAGACAGUGGGAUAGGAGAUAGCAGUGAUGAAGAAUCUGUAAAUAGUGUUCCCCAUCCAGAUGAAACCUACCCAAAAGAAGCCAUUGCCAGUGACCAUGCAGACAUUGACAAAAGUGUAGAAAACUUAUCUGGACAAAACAGUUAUAGUAUAUUGAAUUAUCCUGACAAUACCUUCCUACAACUGCUACUUCAACCUGACUUGAAGGACAAUGCAGCCAAGAGCCAGCACAUGACAUCAAGAAAACACUCUGUGGUUGGACAAGCUGACACAGCUGAUAAAGAUUGUGAUGGUGAACUAGAUGCCACUGUACAAAGAGAACAAGCUGACAAUCAAGAUGAAACACAUCCCAAAAAAGUCACUGGUGACAAUGACUCAGAAUCAAUGAGUGAAUUAGAGUCAUCUGAAAUAGAAACAAUAACACAACACAGAAUCAACCAGAUAUGGAUUGAUGAAAAAAAACCAGAAUGUGCUAGUGUUAAAUAUAUUUUCAAUUCCCCUAAUGAUGCACCAGUGUCAUCUGGUAGCGAAAUAGCAAACCUGACUGACAGUUUGAAGCAGGAUCUUGACAACACAGAUGUUACAGCAGUGACACCAGAGAAUAAAGAGCACAGCCCAUGUUCAUAUCCUCAUCCCAAUGAAACCAUUCCAAAGACUGCUGUACAGCAGCUAUCACCUAAACAACAUAGUGAUUCUGAAGACAUAGACUAUUCAAGAGAGAUCCUCUCCCCAGAGUUCUCACAAGACAAAUCCAUCAUCACGUCUGAUCAUUCAUCAUCUGAUAGUGAUACCACAGCCCUUCCAGGAACCAAUGGGUACACUUGUAUAUACAUGUCAAACAGACCAUUGGACAUGCUUACCUCACCUAGACCGACACAUGAAAGUAGCAAUAACACAUGCAAUUAUGAGCACAGACGUAAGAUACUUCUUCACAAUCUGCAAAGAACACUUCCAUACUUUAACUUGAAAACUACAGAAUCCUUGUCAACAGUCUUUAAAAACCUCAUUCUGACUGACUUAUCUGUCAUUAGACAAUUCGAGCGACAGCUGGCUGACUUAAUCAAUAUUAAGUUUGAUAGAAACCAAGUCCAGGAGUCAUAUGAAAGAGGAAUAGAUGCUACAGAAGCAAGACCAGAUGCAUCAUUGAAUGAAGAGAAGAAGCCUGGUUUUGACACACCUUUGCCAUCAAGCUCCCACAUUGAUCAAAACAUCAACAAUAACUUGAAGCAAGGGAACAAAUUAGGCAACUUUAGAACACAUAGUAGUUACUUCAAUCAGAAAGAAAAAGAUUGGCAUGAUCCAUUAAGCAACACAAGAUCUGAUGACAAGACCAGGGUUGAUAUUAAAAAAUACAUUCCUGGCAUGAAUGAUGUUUAUGGAAAAGUCAUAAAAGAUUUAGGACCGACUCUGAUAAGUGAACAGAUAUCUGAAGAGAUAAAGGAUGAUCAAUCCAGUGUAAUUCCUGGAGAAGGACCAGAUAGCCAAUUUGAUCCUCAUGCUGACUUUAGCAAAGAAAGCAUCAGAGAACCAGUGCAUCAAACUGAGUUAGGUCUACAACCAUCAAGCCAAUCUUUUGAUCAAGAAGCCAUAUACAACCAACGCCAAAACACCUUGUCCCCACCCCAUACACAUGGUAGGCCUGAUCUUUCCUUGGGUGUAGAGCAGCAACAUUCAGAUGGUUCUGAUGCCGGACUUGGUAAAGAUCAAACUACAGAAAUGACUGGUUCUUCCCAAGUAAGCCAACAACAUGUACAAACAGGACAAUCGUACAGUUUACCUGCCAAACUGCAGGACUACCAUGGAAGACCUACAACUGUGGAAAUGUCUGAAUGUCAACAAACUGCAAAUGACUCACCUCCUCAGGGUAGUGAGCAAGAUUUCCCACAACAAGACAGUUACCACAUACCAUCAAAACUACAAGAAUAUGGUUCUUCAGAAGGGUCUGUGAGUGAUUCUGAUACUGAUGAAAUCACAGAUAUUCCACACACACCCUCAAUAGGUAGACUUGUACCAUACAACCAGGAUGGCCUACCUAAUCUAACUCAUAAAGACAGUCAACAGCAUGGUAGGUCUCACUCCACACAACCUGAUCCAACUUUAGAUGAUGCGUAAACUAGUGAGCAAACUAUCAAACAAGCAGUUAUGUCUGGUCAGAGUUUCCUAGCAGGAGUACCAGUACAUGAUUACACUGCUGCAGUAAGGAUGUCUGACAAUCCAUUCCAAAUACCUGAAAGAAAGGCAGCAUCAAACACCGUGAAACUAAUUUUCAAUGAAUAUAUGGACGUACCACAAACCAAAGAAAAACAACAAUGUCUUAUUGUAAAGACUCCAGAUAGUUUGAAAAGGCAAAGUGACAGCGAGCGACCAUCAUUUGACCAGGAAAGACAGAACACCUUCGACAACAGCCUAGCUAUAGCCUCUGGAACAAAAAGGGACAUUAUCUGGAAUAACCAAUGUGAAGGUUAUUUACGGGUACCGGAUGAACUGAACUUGAUACAAGGCUCAGAGUUUGUCAUCGUUAAGGAAGGGGAAGCAGAAGGCCAGGAAGAUGAAGAUGGUGAAGACGAUGAUGCGGAUGAAGAGGAGAAUGUUUAACCCAACCAGGAGUACUUGGUGUCAUGAAAGUUACAGCAGCAUCUCCUGAGACAUGACACUGAGCUCAGCAGCUGUGAAAAUCUCUGUACUGUGUCACAGAGUACCAAGAUUCAUACUGAACUCCAUGUUGACCAACAGUUCUGUCAGCAUUUGUGGAGUCAGUGACUCAAGGUCUGUUAGUGUAAAACCUUGGAUGAGGUGAGGCCAUGCCUGGUUUUACACCACAAUAUUCCAGUCUUGGUGCCACAUAAGUAGCAAAGUCCCACU
Molecule: RNA transcript, 3039 nt
Organism: Haliotis rubra (blacklip abalone)
Lineage: Eukaryota; Metazoa; Mollusca; Gastropoda; Lepetellida; Haliotidae
Exons: 3
Source: RefSeq, a predicted model, not a curated record